UCUAAAUGGUAAACUUAAUCCUUUGGGUCC
Molecule: non-coding RNA, 30 nt
Filed under: Mus musculus (house mouse)
Lineage: Eukaryota; Metazoa; Chordata; Mammalia; Rodentia; Muridae
Source: RNAcentral